AGCGAACGCUGGCGGCAUGCCUAACACAUGCAAGUCGCACGGGGGGGCUUCGGCCUCCCAGUGGCGGACGGGUGAGGAACGCGUAGGGACCUGUCGAGGGGUGGGGGAUAACCGCGGGAAACUGCGGCUAAUACCGCAUGACGCCGCGGCGUGACAGCCGGGGCCAAAGGCGAAAGCCGCCCGCCGAGGGGCCUGCGUCCGAUUAGCUGGUUGGCGGGGUAGCGGCCCACCAAGGCGUCGAUCGGUAGCUGGUCUGAGAGGGUGAUCAGCCACACCGGGAAUGAGACACGGCCCGGACUCGUACGGGAGGCAGCAGUGGGGAAUAUUGGACAAUGGGCGCAAGCCUGAUCCAGCAAUGCCGCGUGGGUGAAGAAGGUCUUCGGAUUGUAAAGCCCUUUCGGCGGGGACGAUGGUGACGGUACCCGCAGAAGAAGCCCCGGCUAACUUCGUG
This 451-nucleotide ribosomal RNA is filed under the name uncultured bacterium. RNAcentral describes it as "partial 16S ribosomal RNA". It matches the Rfam family "Bacterial small subunit ribosomal RNA", at positions 28 to 507 of the family's 1533-position model. The record is from RNAcentral.